Molecule: ribosomal RNA, 275 nt
Filed under: uncultured bacterium
Lineage: Bacteria
Description: partial 16S ribosomal RNA
Rfam family: Bacterial small subunit ribosomal RNA
Source: RNAcentral
CCUACGGGGGGCUGCAGUGAGGAAUAUUGGUCAAUGGACGGAAGUCUGAACCAGCCAAGUCGCGUGAAGGACGAAGGUAUUAUGUAUUGUAAACUUCUUUUGCAGGGGAAUAAAGUGAGGCUUGCGAGCUUUUUUGCAUGUACCCUGCGAAUAAGGAUCGGCUAACUCCGUGCCAGCAGCCGCGGUAAUACGGAGGAUCCGAGCGUUAUCCGGAUUUAUUGGGUUUAAAGGGUGCGUAGGCGGAGAUUUAAGUCAGUGGUGAAAGUUUAGGGCUU